UACAGAGGUCCCAAGCGUUGUUCGGAUUCACUGGGCGUAAAGGGUGCGUAGGCGGUUGGGUAAGUCUGAUGUGAAAUCUCACAGCUUAACUGUGAAACUGCAUUGGAUACUAUCCAACUCAAGGAAUGGAGGGGAGACUGGAAUACUUGGUGUAGCAGUGAAAUGCGUAGAUAUCAAGUGGAACACCAGUGGCGAAGGCGAGUCUCUGGACAUUUCCUGACGCUGAGGCACGAAAGCCAGGGGAGCAAACGGG
RNAcentral lists this ribosomal RNA (253 nucleotides) under uncultured bacterium. RNAcentral's name for it is "partial 16S ribosomal RNA". It matches the Rfam family "Bacterial small subunit ribosomal RNA", at positions 524 to 776 of the family's 1533-position model. The record is from RNAcentral.